Molecule: small nuclear RNA, 152 nt
Filed under: Myotis davidii
Lineage: Eukaryota; Metazoa; Chordata; Mammalia; Chiroptera; Vespertilionidae
Description: U2 spliceosomal RNA
Rfam family: U2 spliceosomal RNA
About the family: U2 is a small nuclear RNA (snRNA) component of the spliceosome (involved in pre-mRNA splicing). Complementary binding between U2 snRNA (in an area lying towards the 5' end but 3' to hairpin I) and the branchpoint sequence (BPS) of the intron results the bulging out of an unpaired adenosine, on the BPS, which initiates a nucleophilic attack at the intronic 5' splice site, thus starting the first of two transesterification reactions that mediate splicing.
Source: Rfam by way of RNAcentral
AUCGCUUCUCGGCCUUUUUGGCUAAGAUCAAGUGUAGUAUCUGUUCUUAUCAGCUUAAAUUAUGUGUAUGUAUAACUUUGAUUUUAAAAUAUUUUUAAAGUAAAAAACAAGUACUGAAGUGCUUAGCAUAAGGCCAGGAACUUCAAAUAAGG